AAUCUUGCGCAAUGGAGGGAACUCUGACGGAGCAACGCCGCGUGAGCGAUGAAGGUCUUCGGAACGUAAAGCUCUGUCGACAGGGAAGAACACGUGUGAGAGUAACUGCUCACACCUUUACGGUACCUUACCAGAAAGCCACGGCUAACUACGUGCCAGCAGCCGCGGUAAUACGUAGGUGGCAAGCGUUGUCCGGAAUUAUUGGGCUUAAAGGGCUCGCAGGCGGUCCCAUAAGACUGAUGUGGAAUCUUGCGGCUUAACCGCAAGCGGUCAUUGGAAACUGGGGGACUUGAGUACAGAAGAGGAGAGUGGAAUUCCACGUGUAGCGGUGAAAUGCGUAGAGAUGUGAAGGAACACCAGUGGCAAAGGCGGCUCUCUGGUCUGUAACUGACGCUGAGGAGCGAAAGCGUGGGGAGCAAACA
This 422-nucleotide ribosomal RNA is filed under the name uncultured bacterium. RNAcentral describes it as "partial 16S ribosomal RNA". It matches the Rfam family "Bacterial small subunit ribosomal RNA", at positions 360 to 774 of the family's 1533-position model. The record is from RNAcentral.